Molecule: small RNA, 75 nt
Filed under: Xanthomonas campestris
Lineage: Bacteria; Pseudomonadati; Pseudomonadota; Gammaproteobacteria; Lysobacterales; Lysobacteraceae
Also listed under: 1 other name
Description: sRNA sX9
Rfam family: Xanthomonas sRNA sX9
Source: RNAcentral
AUGUACCCACGUACACUCCGGUUCCUCCGCGCCGUCCGCACCCACCUGACGGCUGCUCCCUACGUUUUGUUAGCC